GCUGGGUGUAGUGGCGCACACCUGUAAUCUCAGCACUCGGGAGGCUGAGGCAGGAGGAUGGUUGCAAGUUCAAGACCAGCCUGGGCUACAAAGUGAGCUCAAAACCAGCCUGAACUGCAUACUGAGAUGCUGUCUCAAAAAAGACCAAAAAAAAAGAAAGAAAAGAAAAGAGGAUUUCGCUCUGCAGUUCAGGCUGGCCUUAAACUCACUUGGUAGCCCAGGCUGGCCUCGAAAUUGCAGUGAUCUUCCUGCCUCA
Molecule: small RNA, 256 nt
Filed under: Chinchilla lanigera (long-tailed chinchilla)
Lineage: Eukaryota; Metazoa; Chordata; Mammalia; Rodentia; Chinchillidae
Description: Metazoan signal recognition particle RNA (ENSCLAG00000021701.1)
Source: RNAcentral